GCGGCGGCGCUGCUGCCCCUGCUCCGCAGCGACAAGCUCUGCGUGGACGAGGCGGAACUGGUCCGCGCGGCCCGAAGCUGGGCGCGCGUGGGCGCGGUGAGUGGGGCUGGGGGAGCGCAAGGGCACGGAAGGAGGUGCUGGCCACGAGACUGGUGAGCGGGCGGCAGGACAGGUGCCCGACUCAGGGCUGUCGUUUGCAGGCGGUGCUGGAGCGGCCGGUGGCUGAGGUGGCGGCCCCGGUGGUGAAAGAGCUGAGACUAGCCUUGCUGGCCCCGGCGGAGCUGAGCGCCCUGGAAGAGCAGAACCGGCAGGAACCACUCAUCCCGGUGGAGCAGAUUGUGGAGGCGUGGAAAUGCCAUGCCCUGCGGAGAGGGGAUGAGGCCCGGGGCGCCCCGUGUCGCCGCCGGAGAGGCACCCUGCCCCGGGAGCAUCACCGCUCUCUGGACCUGUCCUUCAAAUGAUCCAACGCCAGGACUCGCAGGGAGCCCUCGACCCGCCCAGCUGAGCCUGCCCCAAACUACAGCUCCCGAAGUGCUCGG
Molecule: small RNA, 539 nt
Filed under: Pan troglodytes (chimpanzee)
Lineage: Eukaryota; Metazoa; Chordata; Mammalia; Primates; Hominidae
Description: retained intron
Source: RNAcentral